GACGAACGCUGGCGGCGUGCUUAACACAUGCAAGUCGAACGCUGAAGCUUAGCUUGCUGGGUGGAUGAGUGGCGAACGGGUGAGUAACACGUGAGUAACCUGCCCUCUUCUUUGGGAUAACGCCCGGAAACGGGUGCUAAUACUGGAUAUUCACUGAUUCUCGCAUGGGGGUUGGUGGAAAGGUUUUUUCUGGUGGGGAUGGGCUCGCGGCCUAUCAGCUUGUUGGUGGGGUGAUGGCCUACCAAGGCUUUGACGGGUAACCGGCCUGAGAGGGUGACCGGUCACAUUGGGACUGAGAUACGGCCCAGACUCCUACGGGAGGCAGCAGUGGGGAAUAUUGCACAAUGGGCGAAAGCCUGAUGCAGCGACGCCGCGUGAGGGAUGGAGGCCUUCGGGUUGUAAACCUCUUUCGCUCAUGGUCAAGCCGCAGCUUUGGGUUGUGGUGAGGGUAGUGGGUAAAGAAGCGCCGGCUAACUACGUG
This 481-nucleotide ribosomal RNA is filed under the name uncultured bacterium. RNAcentral's name for it is "partial 16S ribosomal RNA". It matches the Rfam family "Bacterial small subunit ribosomal RNA", at positions 28 to 507 of the family's 1533-position model. The record is from RNAcentral.